UUGCCCAGGCUGGUCUGGAACUCCUGAGCUGGACCGAUCCUCCUGCCUUGGCCUCCCAAAGUGCUGAGAUUGCAGGAGUAAUUGGGCAGUAUCUUUUAACUGCAGUGGAGAAGUGUCAACACUACUUUGGCUGUGGGACCAGGAUCCUGCUGCCUGGAGGCAGAUUGAUAUUUUUAUUUCACCUUUAAAGGAUGUACAGUAAGGGUGAGAACAUCUCGAUGAAAUCUCUGCAGUAAAUAACUCUUGGAUCCCUUUCCCAUACAAGUGAAAGGACAAAAGGAUGAUAUGCUGAGAUGGCCUCUUCACCUGCACCAAUGCCAGGGCCAGGGUGGGUCUCAGCUACCCACCCCCAGGAUUUAUGAGGAUGGUGAAGAGUGGAGAGGGGUUCCCAGCAAAGGAUUUAGCAUGAGUAAAAUCAAGGAGGGAUAGAAGAACCAUCCUGAGCUAGAGGAGGUUUGAGAAGGAGAAUACUGAGAGGUGAGACUGGACCAAAUGUAAAUGACCUUGAAUGUCAGCCUGAGAGGUCUUUGAAGUCAGGGGCUGUGACUGAUUCAUUGUUGCAUCUCCCGUACCUACCACCAUCUAGCACAUAGUAAGUGUUCAGUGAAUAUUUGCUGAGAAAAUGAAUGACACUAUCCUGCAGACAGCGUGGAGCCUGAACCUCACCCAACAGAGGGGGUUGAGGGGGAGGGUGGCAUGAUCCAGACACUUACUAAGUACAGGUACACCCCAGGGCACAGGUUCUACAAUGGAAAAGGCACUGGUAUGGGGUUAUAGCCCUGGAGAAGCUCGCUGUCUGUUUUAGUGUGUUCUCACACUGUUAUAAAUAAAUACCUGAGACUGGGUAAUUUAUAAA
RNAcentral lists this long non-coding RNA (856 nucleotides) under Homo sapiens (human). RNAcentral's name for it is "HSALNT0389440". The record is from RNAcentral. Lineage: Eukaryota; Metazoa; Chordata; Mammalia; Primates; Hominidae.